Molecule: ribosomal RNA, 413 nt
Filed under: uncultured bacterium
Lineage: Bacteria
Description: bacterial SSU rRNA
Rfam family: Bacterial small subunit ribosomal RNA
Source: RNAcentral
GUGUCAGCCGCCGCGGUAAUACGUAGGGUGCGAGCGUUGUUCGGAAUCACUGGGCGUAAAGGGAGCGUAGGCGGGAUCGUAAGUUAGGAGUUUAAUACAUGGGCUCAACCCGUGAUAUGCUUUUAAUACUGCGGUUCUUGAGUAUGGGAGAGGGUGAUGGAAUUCCAGGUGUAGCGGUGGAAUGCGUAGAUAUCUGGAAGAACACCAGUAGCGAAGGCGGUCACCUGGCCCAAUACUGACGCUGAGGCUCGAAAGCUGGGGGAGCAAACAGGAUUAGAUACCCUGGUAGUCCCAGCCGUAAACGAUGGACACUAGUUGCCGGGAGAGUCAAUCCUUUCGGUGACGAAGCUAACGCAUUAAGUGUCCCGCCUGGGAAGUACGCCCGCAAGGGUGAAACUCAAAUGAAUUGACGG